This 329-nucleotide ribosomal RNA is filed under the name uncultured eukaryote. Its description in RNAcentral is "partial 18S ribosomal RNA". It matches the Rfam family "Eukaryotic small subunit ribosomal RNA", at positions 1470 to 1796 of the family's 1831-position model. The record is from RNAcentral.
CCCUUAGAUGUCCUGGGCCGCACGCGCGCUACACUGAGUGUCUGAGAUACGAGUCUGCCUGGUCCGGCAAGGUGUAGGUAAUCGCUAAAAGACACAUCAUGCUUGGGAUAGAUUAUUGCAAAUAUUAAUCUUGAACGAGGAAUUCCUAGUAAGCGCAAGUCAACAGCUUGCGUUGAUUACGUCCCUGCCCUUUGUACACACCGCCCGUCGCUACUACUGAUUGGAUGUUUAAGCGAGGUUCUCGAACUGCUAGCGACUUAGCUUCGGUGAGGUCGCAGUGUGGGAAGUGAACCUAGCUUUGGUGUCUAGAGGAAGUAAAAGUCGUAACA